This 1349-nucleotide long non-coding RNA is filed under the name Homo sapiens (human). Its description in RNAcentral is "HSALNT0285563". The record is from RNAcentral. Lineage: Eukaryota; Metazoa; Chordata; Mammalia; Primates; Hominidae.
GUGGCUUGAAGGUCUUUUUAAAUUGUUGUUGUUAUGUUUUUAUUUUAUUUUACUUUAUUUUUAAAUAGAGAUGAGGUCUUGCUAUGUUGUCCAGGCUGGUCUCAAACUCCUGGGCUCAAGCAGCUCGCCUGUCUUGGCCUCCCAAAGUGCAGGGAUUGCAGAUGUGAGCCACCAUGCUUGGCCCUUGCUAUAUUUUAAAUAGUUAAAAAUACUGUUUUUGUUUUUUUGUUUUUCCUUGCUGAAUACUUGGGAAAAUUGGUUUGUGUCUGUGGCAAAGGAAUUCAACAAUACUUUCAUUUUCAGGUCAGACUAUUUUAAGAAAAUAGAAGACUAUCAUUUACAGCUGGUAUGGCCCUGUGGUGGUGUGGACCCAGACUUCAAACACAGAUGAAGAUCGAAAACUGAUAUCCCGCAUCUGAUAUCAAAAGUUGAAGAAAGUGAACAAAAACAGCAGAGGAAAGUUCAUAAAAGCAGGAUGAGUUGCAGAAAAACUCCUCAGACACCGGAUUAAAGAAGGAAGAGGUUUUUUAUUUGUCCGGGAGCGUCGGCAGACUCGCGUCUUAAGAGCCGAGCUCCCCGAAAAAGAAAUUCCUAGCCCUUUUAAGGCCUUACAACUCUAAGGAGUCUACGUGAAAGAGUCAUAAUAGAUCAAACAAAUUAAGAAUUCAGAGCCCAAUCCUAACUUCAAGCCAAGAAGUAAAAAAAGGAAGAAAAAAUCAAGACGCUCAGAACAGAACUCCAGCAAUAUUGAACCCAGGUAAUGAAACUAGAUAUGUGUUGUGUGUCAUGUCACAUUGAGAUCUAUGGUAGGAAAGUUUCUUGUUAGACGGAAGUAAAAUAUGACUAGUAGACAGAGCUUCACUGUGUUGCCCAGGCUAGAGGGUAGUGGCGUGAUCAAGGCUCACUGCAGACUCAACCUCCUAGGCUCAAGUAUAUUCUCCUCAGCUUCCAGUAUAUUCUCCUGCAAGAACAUACCACCCCACACCUGGCUAAUUUUAAAAUGUUUUGUAGAGACAGGGUCCCACUAUGUUGUUCAGGCUGGUCUCAAACUCCUGGCCUUAAGUGAUCCUCCUGCCUCAGCCUCCCAAAGUGCUGGGAUUAUAGGCAUGAGCCACCACAUCUAGCCACAAAACUUGUUUAGAGAAAAAAUUGUUAUGAUGAUGUGAAUAAUUGGGUCCACAAUAUUUCCUUUUAGAAAGAAAAUUGGCCAGGCGCGGUGGCUCACGCCUGUAAUCCUAGCACUUUGGAAGGUCGAGGUGGGCAGAUCACCUGAAGUCGGGAGUUCGAGACCAGCCUGACCAACAUGGAGAAACCCCGUCUCUACUCAAAAUACAAAAAAUUAGCCGGGC